RNAcentral lists this ribosomal RNA (446 nucleotides) under uncultured bacterium. RNAcentral's name for it is "partial 16S ribosomal RNA". It matches the Rfam family "Bacterial small subunit ribosomal RNA", at positions 338 to 795 of the family's 1533-position model. The record is from RNAcentral.
CCUACGGGAGGCAGCAGUCGAGAAUCAUUCACAAUGGGGGAAACCCUGAUGCUGCGACGCCGCGUGGGGGAAUGAAGGUCUUCGGAUUGUAAACCCCUGUCAUGUGGGAGCAAAUUAAAAAGAUAGUACCACAAGAGGAAGAGACGGCUAACCCUGUGCCAGCAGCCGCGGUAAUACAGAGGUCUCAAGCGUUGUUCGGAAUCACUGGGCGUAAGGCGUGCGUAGGCUGUUUCGUAAGUCGUGUGUGAAAGGCGCGGGCUCAACCCGCGGACGGCACAUGAUACUGCGAGACUAGAGUAAUGGAGGGGGAACCGGAAUUCUCGGUGUAGCAGUGAAAUGCGUAGAUAUCGAGAGGAACACUCGUGGCGAAGGCGGGUUCCUGGACAUUAACUGACGCUGAGGCACGAAGGCCAGGGGAGCGAAAGGGAUUAGAUACCCGUGUAGUC